GGCAUCGUAGUGUAGUGGUUAAGCACUUGGGAUUUUGAGGAGUCUGCAUAGGCUUGCGUAGUCUCGUAAUUUCCCACAACCCAGGUUCGAACCCUGGCGACGCCU
Molecule: transfer RNA, 105 nt
Filed under: Fibroporia radiculosa
Lineage: Eukaryota; Fungi; Basidiomycota; Agaricomycetes; Polyporales; Fibroporiaceae
Rfam family: tRNA
About the family: Transfer RNA (tRNA) molecules are approximately 80 nucleotides in length.
Source: Rfam by way of RNAcentral